Molecule: long non-coding RNA, 857 nt
Organism: Stomoxys calcitrans (stable fly)
Lineage: Eukaryota; Metazoa; Arthropoda; Insecta; Diptera; Muscidae
Exons: 3
Source: RefSeq, a predicted model, not a curated record
AAGAAUGGGUCGGUCGCCUCGUCAGCUCUAGAUGGAUGACCAAGAAUCGCCAAAACGGUACUGCGGCCUUGAUGCUGGCCUCUGCGGCCAAUAAGGUCUCUUCAAGUUCUCGUCGGUCCGUCCGUCUGGUUUUCGGGCCUUUUUUUUGUUGUGCUACCUUUUUAGCACCGUAGGACCAACAUCGGCUGAUUGGAGGACGAAAAUGUCCUUUAACUGCGUUGCUACCUAACCUAACCAUGAGCUCAUGUUUGGUUAUAGCCUGUAACCCAAACAACGGCAGUCCAAGGGUCGAACGUCAGUAAAGCAGUUUGGUUUGCUAGUCUGGAGAAACUAAAAAGAGUACCUUAGGAACGCUGGGGAAUGCAACAGCGUCUGGAUCCCUCGCUGGUGGAUGGUGUGCGUUGCGGAUGUGGCGGUGACCAGUGUGGCGGUGACCAGGGUGUCGGUAGCCGAUGUGGCGGUUGUUGAUGCAGCGGUUGGUGAUGGAAGCCUUCUUCUUUGUGCGGCAGUGGAGGUGGAGGAGGCGUGGAUUUUGAUUUUUAUGUUUUUGACUUUUAGUUUUGAAAUGUCCACUUGUUUAUUUUAAUUUUAAUCUCUAUUUCUUUUCAGGUUUUUAAUAUAUUCCUUUUUUCAGGUAUUUAACGUUCAUUUCAUUUCAGAUUUCUGACAAAGUUUUUCUUCUCUUUUUUUUUUACGUUACCAUUUCAAUUGGCUCUUUAUGUAUCGUCUCUUCACUUUUCAGGCAUUUCAAAUUUUCUAUUUCUUUUUUUUUUUUAAAAAACUGUCCUUUUUAUUUUGUUUAAAUCCGUUUUUUUCACAUUCAUAUGAAUUUAAAUAAAACACAUUUACCAAAUUUA